RNAcentral lists this ribosomal RNA (497 nucleotides) under uncultured bacterium. RNAcentral's name for it is "partial 16S ribosomal RNA". It matches the Rfam family "Bacterial small subunit ribosomal RNA", at positions 28 to 507 of the family's 1533-position model. The record is from RNAcentral.
GAUGAACGCUGGCGGCGUGCCUAAUACAUGCAAGUAGAACGCUGAAGGAAGGAGCUUGCUCUUUCCGGAUGAGUUGCGAACGGGUGAGUAACGCGUAGGUAACCUGCCUGGUAGCGGGGGAUAACUAUUGGAAACGAUAGCUAAUACCGCAUAACAGUAGAUGUUGCAUGAUAUCUACUUAAAAGGUGCAAUUGCACCACUACCAGAUGGACCUGCGUUGUAUUAGCUAGUUGGUGAGGUAACGGCUCACCAAGGCGACGAUACAUAGCCGACCUGAGAGGGGGAUCGGCCACACUGGGACUGGGACACGGCCCAGACUCCUACGGGAGGCAGCAGUAGGGAAUCUUCGGGAAUGGGCGGAAGGCUGACCGAGGAACGCCGCGUGAGUGAAGAAGGUUUUCGGAUCGUAAAGAUCUGUUGUAAGAGAAGAACGAGAGUGAGAGUGGAAAGUUCACACUGUGACGGUAUCUUACCAGAAAGGGACGGCUAACUACGUG